GAUGAACGCUGGCGGCGUGCCUAAUACAUGCAAGUCGAGCGAACGGACGAGAAGCUUGCUUCUCUGAUGUUAGCGGCGGACGGGUGAGUAACAUGUGGAUAACCUACCUAUAAGACUGGCAUAACUUCGGGAAACCGGAGCUAAUACCGGAUAAUAUUUUGAACCGCAUGGUUCAAAAGUGAAAGACGGUCUUGCUGUCACUUAUAGAUGGAUACGCGCUGCAUUAGCUAGUUGGUAAGGUAACGUCUUACCAAGGCAACGAUGCAUAGCCGACCUGAGAGGGUGGUCGGACACACUGGAACUGAGACACGGUCCAGACUCCUACGGGAGGCAGCAGUAGGGAAUCUUCCGCAAUGGGCGAAAGCCUGACGGUGCAACGCCGCGUGAGUGCUGAAGGUCUUCGGAUCGUAAAACUCUGUUAUUAGGGAAGAACAUAUGUGUAAGUAACUGUGCACAUCUUGACGGUACCUAAUCAGAAAGCCACGGCUAACUCCGUG
This 497-nucleotide ribosomal RNA is filed under the name uncultured bacterium. RNAcentral's name for it is "partial 16S ribosomal RNA". It matches the Rfam family "Bacterial small subunit ribosomal RNA", at positions 28 to 507 of the family's 1533-position model. The record is from RNAcentral.